ACUGAACGGCGGACGGGUGAGUAACGCGUGGGUAACCUGCCUCAUACAGGGGGAUAACAGUUAGAAAUGACUGCUAAUACCGCAUAAGACCACGGUACCGCAUGGUACAGUGGUAAAAACUCCGGUGGUAUGAGAUGGACCCGCGUCUGAUUAGGUAGUUGGUGGGGUAACGGCCUACCAAGCCGACGAUCAGUAGCCGACCUGAGAGGGUGACCGGCCACAUUGGGACUGAGACACGGCCCAG
This 244-nucleotide ribosomal RNA is filed under the name uncultured bacterium. RNAcentral's name for it is "partial 16S ribosomal RNA". It matches the Rfam family "Bacterial small subunit ribosomal RNA", at positions 90 to 334 of the family's 1533-position model. The record is from RNAcentral.